This 1676-nucleotide ribosomal RNA is filed under the name marine metagenome. RNAcentral's name for it is "bacterial LSU rRNA". It matches the Rfam family "Bacterial large subunit ribosomal RNA", at positions 1365 to 2925 of the family's 2925-position model. The record is from RNAcentral.
CUAAUCCGCCCUGGGUAAGUCGGGACCUAAGGCGAGGCCGACAGGCGUAGUCGAUGGACAACGGGUUGAUAUUCCCGUACCGGCGAAGAACCGCAAGAGCUAAUCCCGUAAUGCUAAGAGCCCGAAUCCUUUUCCUGAUCCCUUCGGGGUGAUGGUUGAGGGCUAGCGCUCGACCCUACGCGGGUGCGGCUAGCGUAUUAACAGGUGUGACGCAGGAAGGUAGCUGAUCCGGGCGAUGGUUGUCCCGGUGUAAGGGUGUAGGGCGAGAGAUAGGCAAAUCCGUCUCUCAUAACGCUUGAGACCCGACGCGUAGCCCCAUGGGCGAAAUCAGUGAUCCUAAGCUGCCAAGAAAAGCAUCGACGCGAGGUUCUAGCUGCCCGUACCCCAAACCGACUCAGGUGGUCAGGUAGAGAAUACUAAGGAGAUCGAGAGAAUCGUGGUUAAGGAACUCGGCAAAAUGCCCCCGUAACUUAGGGAGAAGGGGGGCCGGAUCCGUGACGUAAUUUACUUAUUGAGCGGUGAAGGCCGCAGAGACCAGUGGGAAGCGACUGUUUACUAAAAACACAGGUCCGUGCGAAGUUGCAAGACGAUGUAUACGGACUGACGCCUGCCCGGUGCUGGAAGGUUAAGGAGAUCGGUUAGCUUCGGCGAAGCUGAGAACUUAAGCCCCAGUAAACGGCGGUGGUAACUAUAACCAUCCUAAGGUAGCGAAAUUCCUUGUCGGGUAAGUUCCGACCUGCACGAAUGGCGUAACGACUUCCCAACUGUCUCAACCGCGAACUCGGCGAAAUUGCACUACGAGUAAAGAUGCUCGUUACGCGCAGCAGGACGGAAAGACCCCGUGACCUUUACUACAGCUUGGUAUUGGUGUUCGGUGUGGCUUGUGUAGGAUAGGUGGGAGACUUUGAAGCGGACACGCCAGUGUUCGUGGAGUCAUUGUUGAAAUACCACUCUGGUCACUCUGGACAUCUAACUUCGAACCGUGAUCCGGUUCAGGGACAGUGCCUGGUGGGUAGUUUAACUGGGGCGGUUGCCUCCCAAAAAGUAACGGAGGCGCCCAAAGGUUCCCUCAGCCUGGUUGGCAAUCAGGUGGCGAGUGUAAGUGCACAAGGGAGCUUGACUGUGAGACUGACAGGUCGAGCAGGGACGAAAGUCGGGACUAGUGAUCCGGCAGUGGCUUGUGGAAGCGCUGUCGCUCAACGGAUAAAAGGUACCUCGGGGAUAACAGGCUGAUCUUGCCCAAGAGUCCAUAUCGACGGCAUGGUUUGGCACCUCGAUGUCGGCUCGUCGCAUCCUGGGGCUGGAGUAGGUCCCAAGGGUUGGGCUGUUCGCCCAUUAAAGCGGCACGCGAGCUGGGUUUAGAACGUCGUGAGACAGUUCGGUCCCUAUCCGCUGCGUGCGUAGGAAGUUUGAGAGGAUCUGACCCUAGUACGAGAGGACCGGGUUGGACGAACCUCUGGUGUGUCAGUUGUCCUGCCAAGGGCACCGCUGAUUAGCUACGUUCGGGAUGGAUAACCGCUGAAAGCAUCUAAGCGGGAAGCCGGCCUCGAGAUGAGACUUCCAUACCUUUUAGGUGAGAGGCUCCCAGUAGACCACUGGGUUGAUAGGCCGGAUGUGGAAGCGAGGACUAAAGACUCGUGAAGCUGACCGGUACUAAUAAGCCGAAAACUUGACAU